RNAcentral lists this non-coding RNA (170 nucleotides) under bovine gut metagenome. RNAcentral's name for it is "Lysine riboswitch". It matches the Rfam family "Lysine riboswitch aptamer". Rfam says of the family: Riboswitches are metabolite binding domains within certain messenger RNAs that serve as precision sensors for their corresponding targets. Allosteric rearrangement of mRNA structure is mediated by ligand binding, and this results in modulation of gene expression. The record is from RNAcentral.
CAGAUAGAGGCGCGCUGUGCGAUCAGUACCCCGCCCGCCAAGGCCCGCAGGUCUUGGACGGGGGAAAGGCGUACGGCGCCGAAGGCAGGGGCUGCUGCGGUGCUCCUGUGCUGGGCCGGCAAACCAAUAGCUGCCGGACUGUCGCAUCUAACCAUGCGGAGGGCUAUCGC